UUCGUUUUUGAACCUGCACGGAAAAACGAAAGUACCCAAAAGUGAGUUCAUUCCACCCAACUUCGAGGUUGCGUGCGGGAAGCCAAUUUUGAGUUGCUGGAGUCGAUGUUUAGGUAGGUAGUUUGCAUUUAGGCAGACCCCCUCAACUUCAAUGAUAAACUGGAAGCACAAUUGCAGCGCCAUCAGUAAGCUUGCGGAAGAAUAUAGAAUCAAAAUAGUGGGAUAAGGGUAAGUAUGCCUUGCGUUUGGCUGUUGCUAACCGAGAGUUGCUAAUAAACGGCAUUGUUUUUUUUUUGUUGUCAACCGUUUGUGCUCUCUGUGGUGGAAAAAGGCAUUAUGCUAGACUUUCCGCCAGGCCAUGAUGACAAUAAACCCAGCAACGACUUUGAAAUAAGACGGAGAGAUGUGCUUCCAAAUGCUUCUUAGGUACUAAGCCUGGAUCGACCUGGAAUUGCCAGGCUGGAAACAGUGCGGCGGACAAUCUGUAGCUUCCCAGUAAACAAUGUGGAAGCAAUCCCACUAGAGAGACACCAGAGUGCAUUGUGCUCUUUUUAUCACCACACGUAGUUUACUACAGGAAGUCCAGAAAGUACAACUAAUGUAGGCACUAAGUGCUCAGGAGUACAAAUUUAUGAAUAAUGAACGUUUCUGAAUAUAAUAAUGAAUUAAAGCCAAAAGAAAAUAUAUUUUCACAAACUUUUUGUGUAUAGUCUGUAUAGUUUAUUAUGUUUAACAUAUGAAAAAAUAAAAAUAAUUUAAUAUCAUGGGCCUACGCAUAAGUAUUCCAGUAGUUCCAUUGAGCAUCUCCGUCAUAGUCCGACCAAAAUGUUUAAUACUGGACGUAUUUCGAGGCGGAGACGGAUAGUUUUUCGAAAACCUUAAUCAAUAAAAACCAGGUAAUAGUAUUCCCAUUAUGUGUUGAUUGAUUUGUCUUUAAUUUAAAGACUUUCAGCCAUGGCUGGUUCGACUCUUCCCUAUUAUUUGUCACGCAACAAAUCGUAAAUGAUUUCACCUUAUAAUUGGUUUAGUUUUGUAGCGAAAUAUUCCAAAGAGGGAUGCCUUGUAACCCUUGAAACCAUUUGAAGUCCAUUCAUCAGCUUCGCUCUUUGAAAUUCGUCAACAGCCGUAUGAGGUUCAUCUCGAUCAUCGGCUGGUCCAAUAUUUUACAGGCUUUUAUCCGGCUUUUAACGAAAAACCUACCUUUUAAACCUAAUCAUCACAACACGGCAGGAGCUAUAUUCCUCAUCAAACAAUUCAAAACAAUUCAACUGUCACUCGCUUUUUUCCAAGAAAAAUCUCAGUAUGCUAUGUGAUUUUUUUCUUUAUAGUUCUAUAUUUUCCCAUGCAUGGCAGCACAGUCACAAAAAAGACAUGUUUCCUAUGAUUCGUAUGGAAAACCCACUCACAAGGCCAUCUUGUUAAUCGGAUAUCUUUGAUUUAGGCGUAUACGGCCAAAGUACCUAAAGUCAAGGUUCUUUUUACUCAACCGUCAGUUAAAAUUACUCAACUUUCAGUACUGUGCCACUUACUCAAUUUUGGCUUCCCGCAUCGAACUCUCAAAGUUGGGUUGUUUUGCUAUUCACUCUCUGACAACAAUAAAGAGAGCGAAUGAAACAGGAUGCAAAAAAGAACUCAAAAGUGAGUUUAAAAAUACUCAAAUUUGGGUUUUCUUGUUUUUCAGUGUGGGUUGGAACUGGAUUGGCAGAAAAUGUGUAAACCAACAAACGUCAAACAAACUCAAACAAACUUUAGUACAAGCGAAUCCGAAGUCGGGUUGGGGUUGAAACUCAUCCAGUUCCAACCCAGGUUGGAACUGAAUCAAAAACGAAAACGACAUUAGAGAAAAGAGAACAAAGGAGUUUUUUAACAGUUGACCUGGUAAAAGACCUGAACAACCAGAAUCAAACUUUGUGAGGUUAUGUUCGGGUGGUUUUAUGAAUAAAAAAUGAUGCGGAUUCGAAGUUUGAAAACAGAGUUAGAGCAUGUUUGUGGGGGCCCAUAAUACACUGCCUCUCGAAGAAGAUGAUAAAAUCAAGCCGGAAAAGAACCUGGAUCGAAAGUAGGUGGUGGAUUGGAAGAUGUCAACAACAUCCAACGAAGAAUGCCGCGAGCAAUCAAAACCAAGAGGAACCAGACAAAUAGAGAGGGAUCAUAGAUAGCGGUUAGGAGGAGGAGGGAACAAUGUAUAUCAUCGUACAUAUCACCACUUUGUAUACAAAGCCAGUCCUAUAGAAGAAGGAAGUCAUAUGUUUGAUGCUUCGUUUACAGAGAUGGCCAAACUUCGGAAGGUUAGGGGAGGAUUAGCGGAUGACAAUGAGGGGUUUGAUAAAUGAUUGCUGCGUGGAUGAUUAUAUUCUUCGUUGGAUGAUGUUCGGUGAGAAGAUGAUUGUGCCGAACUCAGAGCUCGAUAGUUCUACUAAGUUUUAUAAAAUUAGUCUCAAAACUAGACUAAUUGUAUCUUCUCAAGGAAGUUGGAAAACAGGAAACAAGUUAGUAAUAACACAGUGAUUGUAAAGCACAUAUUUGCUUUCCAGUUGUGCACCUCAACUGUGUCGAAAAUGUCCGAUUUCACAGGACAAUCCCAUGCUUGCAAAAAAUGACGCAUUUUUUAAUUACUUCAAUUCUUCAUAGAGCAGCAUACAAUAUAAGAAAUGCCACUCUAGAAGUUGUCUUCUUCUUUAUGGCUCGACGUUCGCAUUAGAACUUGGCCUGUCACUUUUCAACUUAGUGUUCUUAGUGAUACUCUAUGCCCAGGGAGUCGAGAAAAUUUUCCCGACUGGAACGAGAAUCGAACCCGCCGUCUCCGGAUUGGCGAUCCAUAGCCUUAACCACUAGGCUAUCUGGAGAUCCCAGAAGAUGUCUUAUAUAAUUCUCUAAUUAGCAUUGUUAAUAAUUUCUCAAAUGAUGCCAACAGAAUCCCUAAAAUAUCAUCAAAAGCUACGCUCAAAUCUUUACAAAACAUCUUCGGAGCAAAAAUAAUGCAUUUUUCAAUCCACCACCUACGUUUCGCCAGCAAAAAUACAAAUUUCACGCGAUACAUAACGACCACUAGUCGAAUCUAUUAGGGAAAUUGAUACAAAACUAAUCGCAACGCAAUCCAUUCUGCAGCAAGUAGAUAGCUAAAAAACGUCAGGAUUUUCAACAUCCUUACAAACUCAAUUGAAUCAAAACUUAACAAAAUGUUCACAAAACAUCAACUUUUGAAGCAGUGUAAAACUUUGUCUAGAAACCUUUAAGCAGUAAAAAAUAGGUAUGGAAAAUUACUCAAAGGAAGCCGUAUUCCUCCAAAACGGAACACCAAAUCUACGCGAAUUGAGGCGAAGGUGAUUGCUAUUACCCAUAUUAUUACAACACAAAAAAUAUUACUAAUUCUACUACUAGCUAUUUUUCUACCACACUUACUACUACUACCUCUAUCGUGAGAAAGGAAAAAAAACCUGGUCCAAGUAAUCUUUCAAAUCGCAACAUUAACCUUUGUCCCCAAAACUAAAUUCUUCAACAAAACCAAGAUCAGUGAAGUCGUUGUUUAUACCUAAUAGGAAUAAUUGUUUCUGUUUUACUUUGAUGCAUUUAGCUAAAACAGCGCGUGUUUCGCUUCAGUUGUUUUUGUUUCGAUCGAAGCAAGCGAAUCGGUUCCCAUUAGUAGUAAUACGGAGAUAUCUAAACACACACACACACGCUAACUCACAGAGAGCGAACACGUUAAAAAAAAAUGGCGACCGUGUCGUUCACGGCCGACAGAAUGCAUCUGUGUGCGUAUGUAAACGCGUGUGAGAGCGUGAUGACUUUUUGACAAAUAACCGCAAAAUCUGGGGGUUUUUCCCCCUUUACACGUCAGGUUUUUGUAAGUACACAUUGCGUGGUGGUAGUGACAGCCGCAACCAUUGAACAGUGAAGAUUGUGAACACAUACAGUGAAAUCGAAGGAAUUAAGUAUAUUUUUUAUAUACACAUACGGAAAUGAAGAUCGAAGUGCUGCAAGUAUAUCGUAGUAGAGGAAUGUUAGUGAGACGGUUCCCGAAAAUUUUGCCGAUGGUCGGUAUCUCAAAAAGUAUUUCCCCGAUUUUGUCAUUUUUAUGAAUUUUAAGGGCUCAAAACGAAAUACUGUACGAAUAAGAUCUGGUAGUAAGACUUCAGUAGAUAUUUGUUUCUUCAAAAUGAAAUAUAGCUGCGUUUAUAUUGAAAUACAAACAUUAUUUGUAACAAUAGGGAAGUGGAACCAUCACGACAGGGCUCCUAUUUUGGGCACUUUUUUGCUAUAACUCAGACAAUUUUGAACCAAUUGAUACAAUUUUUGGAACGCGGUGAGAUACAUAGAGUAUCUAGCCGUGAACAAAAUUUCAAGUCAGUUGGUUUGGAAUUGACUAAGUUAUAGCGAAAAGUGUCCAAAAUACCGGCUACUGCCCAAGUGGCUCGCUACCCUACCAUCUCUACUGAUAGUCGUUUGUUUGAUUUCUGACAGAAAACAUGCUUGUUAGUUAGCACCCUUGAAGAUGGCUCUUAUAAAACAUAAUGUUCUGGCAUUUUGUCACUAUUGAACUCAAAAGUUUCAUUCAAUAUUCAGAAAAAUUACAUUUUCGAGAGAAUAGCUUUUUGAAGAAAACGUAUCUUCCGAAACAUAAGAAUUCGGAAGGAGAGCGUUCGGGCAGACGUAAUAGAACCUAGCAAAAUCAAGUACGUCAACUAAUAACAAUACAUUGACAUAAGCUAAAUUAUACAAAUCAAAUCACAUAUUGUGUAUUUUAAUAACUGCAAACAAAAUGUAUGUAAAAUUUGUACCAUACUAGAUCAAGGAUGAAAAAAAAAACAAAGCAAAAUAAAACAAAGCAAGCGAUUUGAUAUACAGACCUUGCACACUCACACAUACACACACAACAUACCCAUCCGGAACUCACGCACUCAUCGCUUCGUUCGAGGGAGCGUGUACAAUAUCGGUGUGAGUCUGCUACCACGUGUCGUACAGCCGUAGGAACCCAAUUUGUAAGUGUAGUAGUUAUAUGGAACUGUGUGCCGAGAGUGGCCGCAAUGGAAGUGUGAGAGUGCGAGCGUGAAUUUAUAUACAUAUGUGCAUGUGUACUGCGGCAAGCAGCAAAAGUAAAUUGAUAAGCAGCAAAAACAAAACAAAAUCAUGAUAGUAAUAGAUCAUAAUAAAGUCAUGGGACAAAUUUUCGUAAAAAAGAGAAAAAAAAAAGAUUAUUAAUCAAAAGAAUGUGUUUUUCAUUUGCGACGCAUUACCAAUCGGAGAAUGCACAGAAUUGAUCGGAUGAGUGAACGAACGAACAUUUGAGUGAUCGUGAGCGAGCGAAUAACAAAAGCAAUCACAAUCGAUCGGAACGCAUGAACGUACGUUCGAAUGGCUUCUUUUCCUUAGUUGUUUUUAGCGUUAGAAUUUUCUUUUCAAGCUGUCAGCUUCUAUUUAGGUUGUUUUAAAUUUUGAACCCCUUUUCAGUUUCUCAAAGAUUUGAAGUAUUUAAAAGUGAAAUGAUAUUUGCACAAAGUGUAUUUUCAGCUUAUAGAAUAUUGGAGAGCAUGGCAACAAUUGGAAAUCUGCUACCAAAAAAACAGAAGUGUUCAAAAGAACCACCAAUCGGAAAGCGAAUUGCAGUACUUUUGUGAAACUAGUUUUAACUAUAAAUAUUCUUAUUUUAUUUAAAACACCACAAAACCUUAAGAUCGUACCGUUUAAAACAGAUAACCUUAUAGAUUUAUCUUCCCCAAAACACAACACCCCCUUACUCCCAUAAUUAGAAUACGCUAGGAAUCUAAUCAUAAGUAGUCAAAAGAUGAUUCAAAAUUAUGUAAUCAAACCGCAAUUGGUUUGGUCAUUGUUCGGUGCGCGAAGCUUUGGUUGGAUCCCACACACACAACAGAUGCUUUGCGCACUGCUCUCAAAGUGAGAAAAUUGGUUUGGAAAAGAUACCAAGAGCGGAAAGAAAUCUGUAAGAAAAAAGAGAAGAGAAACUUAUCGGUUUGAGCAAACACACACAAUACACAACACACACACAGAUAUGGCCCCUUUCAUAUUGUUUAGAACGAGAGAAAAGAUGCAAAGAAUCAAAUAUUAUUUUUUUAUUUUGUUUAUUUAAGCAUUUAUGUAUUUAAGCACAACUGGAAACUUGAAGAAAAAUGCGUUAUAAUAUAUUUCAUUUGAUCAGUA
Aedes albopictus (Asian tiger mosquito) is the source of this 6156-nucleotide long non-coding RNA. RefSeq lists it as uncharacterized. The transcript has 2 exons. Lineage: Eukaryota; Metazoa; Arthropoda; Insecta; Diptera; Culicidae. The record is from RefSeq and is a predicted model, not a curated record.